UGGAAAGAUCGUGGACGGCCAUGUGAUACGUGAAGGCUUGGAGCUAAAAAAUCGGAUUACGCUGUGUUAGGAAUACCAUCUUUCCCCUCCGAUUAGCACAUAAUCCCGAUUCUGCAGAAUAUUUUCCCUACCCUCCGCACAAAAAUCAAGGUUCAAUGAAAUUAGACCUAGCCCUCUUCUUCCUCAGUUAUUCAUCCUUCCAUCGGCAUUCUGAAGAACUCAGGGAAAAAAUUGAAAAGCUUCAACUUCGAACAAG
Molecule: long non-coding RNA, 256 nt
Filed under: Salvia miltiorrhiza (redroot sage)
Lineage: Eukaryota; Viridiplantae; Streptophyta; Magnoliopsida; Lamiales; Lamiaceae
Description: long non-coding RNA (SMIL_LNC009592)
Source: RNAcentral